This 439-nucleotide ribosomal RNA is filed under the name uncultured bacterium. Its description in RNAcentral is "partial 16S ribosomal RNA". It matches the Rfam family "Bacterial small subunit ribosomal RNA", at positions 339 to 795 of the family's 1533-position model. The record is from RNAcentral.
CUACGGGUCGCUCCAGUGAGGAAUAUUGCACAAUGGGGGGAACCCUGAUGCAGCAACACCGCGUGGAGGAUGACGCAUUUCGGUGUGUAAACUCCUUUUAUAUGUCAAGGAAAUGACGGUAGCAUAUGAAUAAGCACCGGCUAACUCCGUGCCAGCAGCCGCGGUAAUACGGAGGGUGCAAGCGUUACUCGGAAUCACUGGGCGUAAAGGACGCGUAGGCGGGUUGGAAAGUCAGGUGUGAAAUCCUACAGCUUAACUGUAGAACUGCACUUGAAACUUCUAAUCUAGAGUAUGGGAGGGGGAGAUGGAAUUAGUGGUGUAGGGGUAAAAUCCGUAGAUAUCACUAGGAAUACCUAAAGCGAAGGCGAUCUCCUGGAACAUUACUGACGCUAAGGCGUGAAAGCGUGGGGAGCAAACAGGAUUAGAUACCCUUGUAGUC